UUGUGGGCAGAUGAGUCUCGGGUCUAUAGUAUAGGAACACUGAGGUGAGGGUACGGAUGGUUGUUAGAGAAUAACUUAUAUUGAGCGUGAUUAAUAUGAAAAAUUACUUGAAUGUCUACUCACUCAUCAGUGGUUGACUCGAUGCUGCAGUGGUGUAAGUGGUCCUUUGAUCUAUGGUGUCAUCGACUAUUCACAGUGAGGCUACUGAGUUUGACUGCACGUUCUCUUGGUUCC
RNAcentral lists this long non-coding RNA (234 nucleotides) under Elaeis guineensis (African oil palm). RNAcentral describes it as "long non-coding RNA (EGUI_LNC023195)". The record is from RNAcentral. Lineage: Eukaryota; Viridiplantae; Streptophyta; Magnoliopsida; Arecales; Arecaceae.